GACGAACGCUGGCGGCGUGCUUAACACAUGCAAGUCGAACGGAAAGGCCUGCUUUCCCUUGUGGAUUGCGGGUACUCGAGUGGCGAACGGGUGAGUAACACGUGAGUGAUCUGCCCCCAACUUGGGUAUAAGCCUGGGAAACUGGGUCUAAUUCCCGAUAGGACUGCAGGGUGGUGCCUGUGGUGGAAAACGAUUUUCUAGUGGUUGGGGAUGAGCUCGCGGCCUAUCAGCUUGUUGGUGGGGUAAUGGCCUACCAAGGCGGCGACGGGUAGCCGGCCUGAGAGGGUGGACGGCCACAUUGGGACCGAGAUACGGCCCAGACUCCUACGGGAGGCAGCAGUGGGGAAUAUUGCACGAUGGGCGGAAGCCUGAUGCAGCGACGCCGCGUGGGGGAUGACGGCCUUCGGGUUGUAAACUCCUUUCGACCGCGAGGAAGCCACCUGGUUGGAGGGGUGGUGACGGUAGUGGUAGAAGAAGCACCGGCUAACUACGUG
This 494-nucleotide ribosomal RNA is filed under the name uncultured bacterium. RNAcentral describes it as "partial 16S ribosomal RNA". It matches the Rfam family "Bacterial small subunit ribosomal RNA", at positions 28 to 507 of the family's 1533-position model. The record is from RNAcentral.